GGAGAAACUGCCAACAGAGUAAACAGACAACCUACAGAAUGGGAGAAAAUUUUCACAAACUAUGCAUCUGACAAAGGUCUAAUAUCCAGCAUCUAUAAGGAACUUAAAGAAAUUUACAAGAAAAACAAAACAUAAAAAAAUCCAGAGUGAAGCUAAGUCUUCCAAGUCAAAUGGGUGUGUUAGCCAGGUAUCAAGGAAGAGGAGGAGAGAGGGCAGCAAGGAUGAAGGAGAAGCAUGUGCUAAGAUGCGGUGUACCGUCCGUCUGGUCACACCUCUGAACAGUGCUGGAAGAAUGCCAUGCCUGCCUAUCAUGAUGACACCCACUUCUAUUUCAAAAGUUGACCCCAAAUCCUUCUCUGAUAGAGAAAAUGAAGUAUUCAGAAGUUAGAUGAUUUGGCCAAAUUUACUGCCUUCAGAGAGAUCUUCCUUGUCCAGCUCUAUUUCCAGACAUCACCUGCUUCCAGAUUCCCAUCCACCAAUGUGGACUUCCGUGUCUCUAGGCACUAGCUGUUCCCAUGCCCUCUUCCCAUUGUUGCCUUACCCCUUCCAUAUAUCACUCUGUUGGCCAGCGUGAGCAUGCUUGAGAACCAUCCCCAGCUCCUGCCUCACCCACUCGGCCAGUCUAGGGCACAGUCCAGACCCAUCACCAUCAGACUGGGCCUCGAGCAGU
Gorilla gorilla gorilla (western lowland gorilla) is the source of this 670-nucleotide long non-coding RNA. RefSeq lists it as uncharacterized. Lineage: Eukaryota; Metazoa; Chordata; Mammalia; Primates; Hominidae. The record is from RefSeq and is a predicted model, not a curated record. The transcript has 3 exons.